This 250-nucleotide long non-coding RNA is filed under the name Eucalyptus grandis. RNAcentral's name for it is "long non-coding RNA (EGRA_LNC006990)". The record is from RNAcentral. Lineage: Eukaryota; Viridiplantae; Streptophyta; Magnoliopsida; Myrtales; Myrtaceae.
CGCGACCGCAUUCAGUGUGGGAAAGCAGUUGAGGUCCCGGUUCUUGUGGUGCCGAAGCUUCUACGGAGCGGCGGCAAUAGGAGUGGCGGCGGCGGUCGUCGGCGGCGACGAGGAAAAGCUGGUGUCUUUCUCCGUCGGAGGCGGCGGAUUCCUCUCCUUCGUCUUCCCCUUCUCAAGACGUUGUUCGCGAAGAAGGCUAGAGAGAGAGAGACACUGUAGUGAAGAUCGAAUGCUAGAAAGCAUGGGUAAU